GACGAACGCUGGCGGCGUGCUUAACACAUGCAAGUCGAACGGAAAGGCCCUGCUUUUGUGGGGUGCUCGAGUGGCGAACGGGCGAGUAACACGUGAGUAACCUGCCCUUGACUUUGGGAUAACUUCAGGAAACUGGGGCUAAUACCGGAUAGGAGCUCCUGCUGCAUGGUGGGGGUUGGAAAGUUUCGGCGGUUGGGGAUGGACUCGAGGCUUAUCAGCUUGUUGGUGGGGUAGUGGCUUACCAAGGCUUUGACGGGUAGCCGGCCUGAGAGGGUGACCGGCCACAUUGGGACUGAGAUACGGCCCAGACUCCUACGGGAGGCAGCAGUGGGGAAUAUUGCACAAUGGGCGGAAGCCUGAUGCAGCAACGCCGCGUGCGGGAUGACGGCCUUCGGGUUGUAAACCGCCUUCGCCUGUGACGAAGCGUGAGUGACGGUAAUGGGUAAAGAAGCACCGGCUAACUACGUG
RNAcentral lists this ribosomal RNA (468 nucleotides) under uncultured bacterium. Its description in RNAcentral is "partial 16S ribosomal RNA". It matches the Rfam family "Bacterial small subunit ribosomal RNA", at positions 28 to 507 of the family's 1533-position model. The record is from RNAcentral.